AAGUCGAACGAGAAAUUACCUUCGGGUAAUGGAAAGUGGCGCACGGGUGAGUAACACGUGGGUAUCUGCCUUUUAGUGGGGGACAACUACCGGAAACGGUAGCUAAUACCGCAUAAGCUCUACGGAGGAAAGUGGGGGAUCUUCGGACCUCACGCUAAAAGAUGGGCCCGCGCCUGAUUAGCUUGUUGGUGGGGUAAUGGCCUACCAAGGCGAUGAUCAGUAACUGGUUUGAGAGGAUGAUCAGUCACACUGGAACUGAGACACGGUCCAGACUCCUACGGGAGGCAGCAGUGGGGAAUAUUGCACAAUGGGGGAAACCCUGAUGCAGCGACGCCGCGUGCGGGAAGAAGGCCUUCGGGUUGUAAACCGCUUUCAGAUGGGAAGAAGCAAUGAGGGUUAAUAACUCUCUGCGUUGACGGUACCUUCAGAAGAAGCACCGGCUAAUUUCGUGCCAGCAGCCGCGGUAAUACGAAAGGUGCAAGCGUUGUUCGGAUUUACUGGGCGUAAAGCGAGUGUAGGUGGUUUGUUAAGUCGGAUGUGAAAUCCCGGGGCUCAACCCCGGAACUGCAUUCGAUACUGGCAGACUAGAGUUCGGGAGGGGGAUGCGGAAUUCCGUGUGUAGCAGUGAAAUGCGUAGAUAUACGGAGGAACACCUGAGGCGAAGGCGGCAUCCUGGACCGAUACUGACACUGAGACUCGAAAGCGUGGGUAGCAAACAGGAUUAGAUACCCUGGUAGUCCACGCCCUAAACGAUGUCAACUAGCCGUUGCGGGUAUCGACCCCUGCAGUGGCGCAGCUAACGCGAUAAGUUGACCGCCUGGGGAGUACGGUCGCAAGAUU
RNAcentral lists this ribosomal RNA (840 nucleotides) under uncultured bacterium. RNAcentral describes it as "bacterial SSU rRNA". It matches the Rfam family "Bacterial small subunit ribosomal RNA", at positions 59 to 895 of the family's 1533-position model. The record is from RNAcentral.